UACGUAGGGGGCAAGCGUUGUCCGGAAUCAUUGGGCGUAAAGCGCGUGUAGGCGGCCAGGUAAGUCCGUUCUGAAAGUCCAGGGCUCAACCCUGGAAAGCCGGUGGAUACUGCCGGGCUAGAGUCCGGAAGAGGCGAGUGGAAUUCCUGGUGUAGCGGUGGAAUGCGCAGAUAUCAGGAGGAACACCGAUAGCGAAGGCAGCUCGCUGGGACGGUACUGACGCUGAGGCGCGAAAGCGUGGGGAGCGAACAGG
RNAcentral lists this ribosomal RNA (253 nucleotides) under uncultured bacterium. Its description in RNAcentral is "partial 16S ribosomal RNA". It matches the Rfam family "Bacterial small subunit ribosomal RNA", at positions 524 to 776 of the family's 1533-position model. The record is from RNAcentral.